GGUAUCUAAAGAAAACCCAAAUCAUGGGGUUUGUUUGCUUGAUGUAAUGUAAUUCAGUGAAGACAUUCAAGGGUCGGUUUUUCUUAACUUGAAGGUAUUUUCUUCCAUUACGCAUCUUUGAUUUGUUGUUUUAUCAGUUUCCAAUAUAAAAAUAAUCAAAUGGAUCAUCGAACGCCCAUAUUGAUUUGGAUCUAAACUGAUCACGAUUUCGGAUCAAAAGUUUUUCCUUCUCACCGUUCGGGUAUUAUUAUCUAAAUAAACUUGUAUAUGAGGUUCUAGUUCUAAACAUAAAUAAUAACGAUGUGUUCUUCUGUUAAUUUCCACUUGUUCUUUCGAUGUAACCCAAUAAAAUAUAGUAUGUUAAGAUUAUUUGUACAAGAACUUUACCCAUAAAAUAUAAACCUAUGCUAUUGAGAAGAUACAUAUAGACAA
RNAcentral lists this long non-coding RNA (432 nucleotides) under Helianthus annuus (common sunflower). RNAcentral describes it as "hypothetical non coding rna". The record is from RNAcentral. Lineage: Eukaryota; Viridiplantae; Streptophyta; Magnoliopsida; Asterales; Asteraceae.